Molecule: ribosomal RNA, 256 nt
Filed under: uncultured bacterium
Lineage: Bacteria
Description: partial 16S ribosomal RNA
Rfam family: Bacterial small subunit ribosomal RNA
Source: RNAcentral
UACGGAGGGGGCUAGCGUUGUUCGGAAUUACUGGGCGUAAAGCGCGCGUAGGCGGACCUGCAAGUCGGGGGUGAAAGCCCGAGGCUCAACCUCGGAACUGCCUUCGAUACUGCGGGUCUCGAGUCCGGGAGAGGUGAGUGGAAUUCCUAGUGUAGAGGUGAAAUUCGUAGAUAUUCGGAAGGAACACCAGUGGCGAAGGCGACUGACUGGACAUGUAUUGACGCUGAGGUGGCGAAAAGCGUGGGGAGCAAACAGG